AUUAUAUAGUAGAGAGUGAGAUACUGAGAAAUACACAGUGACAUAUUUUCCAUAUCUUCACUAGUGAAGAUAUCGAUCACGUGACUUUUAGUAUUUAUACAAUUUUUUGCUUGGGACUAUAUAAUAAACAGAACAUUACACGUUGGCUUGAAGAUAUGACUUUUAUCUUCUCGUGUUAAAAACAAUAUUUUACUCACUCGCUGCG
Molecule: non-coding RNA, 205 nt
Organism: Paramuricea clavata
Lineage: Eukaryota; Metazoa; Cnidaria; Anthozoa; Malacalcyonacea; Plexauridae
Source: the annotation of a GenBank genome assembly